GAAAUGCGAUAAGUAGUGUGAAUUGCAGAAUUCAGUGAAUCAUCGAAUCUUUGAACGCACAUUGCGCCCCUUGGUAUUCCAUGGGGCAUGCCUGUUCGAGCGUCAUUUGUACCCUCAAGCUCUGCUUGGUGUUGGGUGUUUGUCCCCGCUUCUGCGUGUGGACUCGCCUUAAAGCAAUUGGCAGCCGGCAUAUUGGCCUGGGAGCGCAGCACAUUUUGCGCUUGCUGUCAAUUAUUGUUGGCGUCCAUCAAGUCUACAUUUUUAACUCUUGACCUCGGAUCAGGUAGGGAUACCCGCUGAACUUAA
RNAcentral lists this unclassified non-coding RNA (306 nucleotides) under uncultured Pezizomycotina. RNAcentral describes it as "sequence contains ITS1". The stretch from base 1 to 105 matches the Rfam family "5.8S ribosomal RNA", at positions 50 to 154 of the family's 154-position model. Lineage: Eukaryota; Fungi; Ascomycota. The record is from RNAcentral.